RNAcentral lists this microRNA (21 nucleotides) under Bombyx mori (domestic silkworm). Its description in RNAcentral is "bmo-miR-6497-3p". Lineage: Eukaryota; Metazoa; Arthropoda; Insecta; Lepidoptera; Bombycidae. The record is from miRBase by way of RNAcentral.
GAUGCGGCCGGUGCCGGGUCU